RNAcentral lists this ribosomal RNA (113 nucleotides) under Acanthosepion pharaonis. The record is from RNAcentral. Lineage: Eukaryota; Metazoa; Mollusca; Cephalopoda; Sepiida; Sepiidae.
UUACGACCAUAUCACCUCGAAAUACCGGUUCCCUUAAAAUCACCGAAGUUAAGCAACGUAGAGCCUGACCAGUGCCUAGAUGGGUGACCACUUGGAAAUACCAAGUGCUGUAA